UAACACUAACUGGAGGACCGAACCGACUAAUGUUGAAAAAUUAGCGGAUGACCUGUGGCUGGGGGUGAAAGGCCAAUCAAACCGGGAGAUAGCUGGUUCUCCCCGAAAGCUAUUUAGGUAGCGCCUCGUGAAUUCAUCUCCGGGGGUAGAGCACUGUUUCGGCUAGGGGGCCAUCCCGGCUUACCAACCCGAUGCAAACUGCGAAUACCGGAGAAUGUUAUCACGGGAGACACACGGCGGGUGCUAACGUCCGUCGUGAAGAGGGAAACAACCCAGACCGCCAGCUAAGGUCCCAAAGUCAUGGUUAAGUGGGAAACGAUGUGGGAAGGCCCAGACAGCCAGGAUGUUGGCUUAGAAGCAGCCAUCAUUUAAAGAAAGCGUAAUAGCUCACUGGUCGAGUCGGCCUGCGCGGAAGAUGUAACGGGGCUAAACCAUGCACCGAAGCUGCGGCAGCGACACUGUGUGUUGUUGGGUAGGGGAGCGUUCUGUAAGCCUGCGAAGGUGGCCUGUGAGGGUUGCUGGAGGUAUCAGAAGUGCGAAUGCUGACAUAAGUAACGAUAAAGCGGGUGAAAAGCCCGCUCGCCGGAAGACCAAGGGUUCCUGUCCAACGUUAAUCGGGGCAGGGUGAGUCGACCCCUAAGGCGAGGCCGAAAGGCGUAGUCGAUGGGAAACGGGUUAAUAUUCCCGUACUUGGUGUUACUGCGAAGGGGGGACGGAGAAGGCUAUGUUGGCCGGGCG
Molecule: ribosomal RNA, 738 nt
Filed under: Salmonella enterica subsp. enterica serovar Enteritidis
Lineage: Bacteria; Pseudomonadati; Pseudomonadota; Gammaproteobacteria; Enterobacterales; Enterobacteriaceae
Description: partial 23S ribosomal RNA
Rfam family: Bacterial large subunit ribosomal RNA
Source: RNAcentral